This 406-nucleotide ribosomal RNA is filed under the name uncultured bacterium. RNAcentral describes it as "partial 16S ribosomal RNA". It matches the Rfam family "Bacterial small subunit ribosomal RNA", at positions 30 to 526 of the family's 1533-position model. The record is from RNAcentral.
AUUGAACGCUGGCGGCAGGCCUAACACAUGCAAGUCGAACGAGUGGCGGCCGGGUGAGUAAUGUCUGGGAAACUGCCCUAUGGAGGGGGAUAACUACUGGAAACUGUAGCUAAUACCGCAUACUAUCAGAUGUGCCACUAUGGGAUUAGCUUGUUGGUGGGGUAACGGCUCACCGAGGCGACGAUCUCUAGCUGGUCUGAGAGGAUGACGAGCCACACUGGAACGGAGAAACGGCCAAGACGCCUACGGGAGGCAGCAGUGGGGAAUAGUGCACAAUGGGCGCAAGCCUGAUGCAGCCAUGCCGCGUGUAUGAAGAAGGCCUUCGGGGUGUAAAGCACUUGAAGUUGGGAGGCGUUACCUGCAGAAUAAGCACCGGCUAACUUCGUGCCAGCAGCCGCGGUAAUAC